RNAcentral lists this ribosomal RNA (1020 nucleotides) under Triticum aestivum (bread wheat). RNAcentral describes it as "partial small subunit ribosomal RNA". The record is from RNAcentral. Lineage: Eukaryota; Viridiplantae; Streptophyta; Magnoliopsida; Poales; Poaceae.
AUGGCUCUCCACCGCCUACCGCUCCUCCUCCUCGUCCUCACAGCCAUCGUACCCCUGUUCACCGCCUCCGCUUCCCACAGCCAGCUCCCGCCGGAGCACGCCGCCGCGCGCCGCCGCCACCACCCUUCCCCCGCCACCGCCAGCCCGGCCACCGUCCAAUUCCACCCCGUCACCAGCGCCACCUCCUCCAUGCCCAAAAACCACCUCGGGAUGGAUCAGAGCCCGUCAACGCUCGAGGCCAUGGCGGGGAACCCCCAGGCACUGCCCGUGCCACCCCAAGCAGCCACACCACCGCCUCCACCCCAGGCACCGGCACAGCUGCUGCAGGAGGACUCGGACUCGGAGGGGUCGUCAUCUGCUUCGGCCUCUCCAGCCGCGGCCUCGUCCACGACAACGACGACGCUUCUACCGCUCCUCAACCAGCGCGCCGCGGCGGCAUCAGCAAGCUCUGCGUCUCCCGUCCAAGCCGGCGUCGCGAGGGUGGUAGGCUGGGGCAGCGAAGAGGGGCUGCUGCCGCUGGCGAGGGUGCUUACCGCGCUGGGGUACGACGAGAUGGCAUCGGCGGCGACGCUCCACCCCAACUUACCGCCGCUCGCGAGGUGGCACGGGCCGAUCACCAUCUUCGCGCCUCCCGAUAUCUCCCUCCAGACCUCGUGCUCCAUGUGCUCGCGCCGCCGCCUCCUCCUGGACCACAUCGCCUUGGGCUACUACCCGUACUCCGAGCUCACCGCCGCCCCCACCAUCAAGAUUCCAUCGGCCUCCGUCAACCUCUGCCUCAACAUCGACACCGUGAGCGGCACCUUCUCCGUCCACCACGCCAGGCUCUUCGUUGAAGGCGUCGAGACUUCCCACCCUGAGGUCUACAACGACGGCCGCUACAUCGUCCAUGGCCUCCGCACCUUCCUGCAACCGCUCUCACGCUACUCCUGCUUCGACCGCUCGCACUCGACCACUGCCACGGCGACAGCAUGCCAACCCGGUCGGACGCGACCUCCGUCUCUAUGUCCGCGAUGCGUGUGA